This 335-nucleotide ribosomal RNA is filed under the name uncultured bacterium. RNAcentral describes it as "bacterial SSU rRNA". It matches the Rfam family "Bacterial small subunit ribosomal RNA", at positions 463 to 793 of the family's 1533-position model. The record is from RNAcentral.
CGUUGUUUGACGUUAGCGACAGAAGAAGCACCGGCUAACUCCGUGCCAGCAGCCGCGGUAAUACGGAGGUGCGAGCGUUAAUCGGAAUUACUGGGCGUAAAGCGCAUGCAGGUGGUUUGUUAAGUCAGAUGUGAAAGACCCGGGCGUCAACCUACGGAAUUGCAUUUGAAACUAGGCAGACUAGAGUACUGUAGAGGGGGGUAGGAAUUUCAGGUGUAGCGGUGAAAAUGCGUAGAGAUCUGAAGGAAUACCGGUGGCGAAGGCGGCCCCCUGGACAGAUACUGACACUCAGAUGCGAAAGCGUGGGGAGCAAACAGGAUUAGAUACCCUGGUAG